UACGUAGGGGGCAAGCGUUGUCCGGAAUCAUUGGGCGUAAAGCGCGUGUAGGCGGCUCGAUAAGUCCGCUGUGAAAGUCCAGGGCUCAACCCUGGGAUGCCGGUGGAUACUGUCGAGCUCGAGUCCGGAAGAGGCGAGUGGAAUUCCUGGUGUAGCGGUGAAAUGCGCAGAUAUCAGGAGGAACACCUAUGGCGAAGGCAGCUCGCUGGGACGUGACUGACGCUGAGACGCGAAAGCGUGGGGAGCAAACAGG
This 253-nucleotide ribosomal RNA is filed under the name uncultured bacterium. RNAcentral's name for it is "partial 16S ribosomal RNA". It matches the Rfam family "Bacterial small subunit ribosomal RNA", at positions 524 to 776 of the family's 1533-position model. The record is from RNAcentral.